CCUAUAGAUCAAUAAUCCAAGUGUAAAUUCCGGAGCAUAAGAGGCUAAUCCAAGUAAAUUAUACUAAUUUCUGUGAAGACUUGGCAAUGAUUUUGCGUUGGAAAAUCCUCCAAUUAUAUUUCUAGAUCAAGAUUAAGAGGUAAGUGUAGAAUCUAGACAAUCUGAACAAACCACUUGAGGUAUUCAUGGAAAUGUAACGAAUUCCAAGCCCAGUGGUAUAGCUACAAUGAGUGAAAGAUUCUUAUCUUACCAUUAGUUCGAGGGCAAUGUGCUUGGGAUAUUUGUGCAAGCAAUUGUUGAGUUCCUAAUGGAAUUAUGACCUGGUCUUCAAAGUUAUACAAUCUUCGUUGCCUCACGCUACGGGAUGUUGUACUGGAGUUGGAUCGGGACCUUGGGUUGGCUCCUAAUUGGAGUCUUUAUUGUUUACUUAUUUGUGGAUCACUUUAUGCAUAGGUUUAAAAAUUUAUUAUAGGUAAUGCAUUUUAAAUAUUAAUAACUUCUUACCAUUAUUC
This is a long non-coding RNA of Spinacia oleracea (spinach), 512 nucleotides long. RefSeq lists it as uncharacterized. The transcript has 3 exons. Lineage: Eukaryota; Viridiplantae; Streptophyta; Magnoliopsida; Caryophyllales; Amaranthaceae. The record is from RefSeq and is a predicted model, not a curated record.